RNAcentral lists this long non-coding RNA (413 nucleotides) under Nicotiana benthamiana. RNAcentral describes it as "long non-coding RNA (NBEN_LNC035132)". Lineage: Eukaryota; Viridiplantae; Streptophyta; Magnoliopsida; Solanales; Solanaceae. The record is from RNAcentral.
CCAUUUUAUAGCUCGUUCAGAGAUUGAUUUACAACGGGAACUGAAGCGAAAAAGAGAAAUGAACCUGGCACUAAGAAACUGAAUUAAUACAACACUGAAAUCAACCAAAAGGAAGCAAAUAACAACUAAAAAUCAACCCUCGAGCGGCAACAUCUUCGAACUUCAAAUGACUUCCAUUUUUAAACCAAAAUCCAGAAUCAAAAUGAAGAAGACGAACUCUAGAGAUUUGGAAAAAAAAACUUUUAACAAUAAUCACCAUGAACUGAAAUAUCAGAACACUCAAUGAUUCUUUUCUUCUUUUUUUUUGUUGCUUUUUUUUGUAUCAGAAGUAAUAAAAUGAAGAAGAGAAUGUAGAGAGUUUUGGGAGAAGUCCAAUUGUCUAUUGCUCACAAAAGUAUAUAUAUAGAGUAUNN